RNAcentral lists this ribosomal RNA (440 nucleotides) under uncultured bacterium. RNAcentral's name for it is "bacterial SSU rRNA". It matches the Rfam family "Bacterial small subunit ribosomal RNA", at positions 338 to 795 of the family's 1533-position model. The record is from RNAcentral.
CCUACGGGGGGCUGCAGUGGGGAAUAUUGCACAAUGGAGGAAACUCUGAUGCAGCGACGCCGCGUGGAGGAAGAAGGUUUUCGGAUCGUAAACUCCUGUUGUCGGGGACGAUAAUGACGGUACCCGACAAGAAAGUGACGGCUAACUACGUGCCAGCAGCCGCGGUAAAACGUAGGUCACAAGCGUUGUCCGGAAUUACUGGGUGUAAAGGGAGCGCAGGCGGGGAGAUAAGUUGGGAGUGAAAACUAUGGGCUCAACCCAUAAAUUGCUUUCAAAACUAUCUUUCUUGAGUAGUGCAGAGGUAGGCGGAAUUCCCGGUGUAGCGGUGGAAUGCGUAGAUAUCGGGAGGAACACCAGUGGCGAAGGCGGCCUACUGGGCACCAACUGACGCUGAGGCUCGAAAGUAUGGGUAGCAAACAGGAUUAGAUACCCGAGUAGUC